UGAACCAUGAUAACCUUUUUGCCUA
This 25-nucleotide non-coding RNA is filed under the name Mus musculus (house mouse). The record is from RNAcentral. Lineage: Eukaryota; Metazoa; Chordata; Mammalia; Rodentia; Muridae.